Molecule: non-coding RNA, 412 nt
Filed under: uncultured Kluyvera sp.
Lineage: Bacteria; Pseudomonadati; Pseudomonadota; Gammaproteobacteria; Enterobacterales; Enterobacteriaceae
Source: RNAcentral
GAUUGUGCAGGGUACUGUCCAACGGCUUGAUAAACAGGCUGUUAUUAUUGAGAGUUACAUCACCGGUCGCCUUGACCAGCUCACCGUCCAGCGGAAUAUCCAGAUGUAAGCGAGCGCUCACGUCGCCAUCAAGCUGGAGCUCAUCAAGCGUGGCGCCUAAAGACUUACUAAGCGGUGUCUCUUUGAAAUACGGGCCGACCGCCUUCCCCGGGCCAUUGAUAUCUGCGCUUAUCAGCAGCUUCUCUUUGGCGUAAUCAGGAAUAGCGGCAUCAAGAUUACUGGCGGUUACGCCACCCAGAGUGGCUUUAUCCGCCUUCAUCCACAGCCCGGCAUUGAUAAAGUUAAGCUCGAUAUCCUGAUGCGUUAACGCUGGCCAGUCAGGCUGGAAGGCAAAGGUCGCGUCUUUUAGCGG